This 252-nucleotide ribosomal RNA is filed under the name uncultured bacterium. RNAcentral's name for it is "partial 16S ribosomal RNA". It matches the Rfam family "Bacterial small subunit ribosomal RNA", at positions 524 to 776 of the family's 1533-position model. The record is from RNAcentral.
UACGGGGGGGGCAAGCGUUGUUCGGAAUUACUGGGCGUAAAGGGCUCGUAGGCGGCCAACUAAGUCAGACGUGAAAUCCCUCGGCUUAACCGGGGAACUGCGUCUGAUACUGGAUGGCUUGAAUCCGGGAGAGGGAUGCGGAAUUCCAGGUGUAGCGGUGAAAUGCGUAGAGAUCAUGAGGAAGACCAGUGGCGAAGGCGGGUCUCUGGACAGUUCCUGACACUGAGGCACGAAGGCCAGGGAGCAAACGGG